RNAcentral lists this ribosomal RNA (305 nucleotides) under uncultured bacterium. Its description in RNAcentral is "bacterial SSU rRNA". It matches the Rfam family "Bacterial small subunit ribosomal RNA", at positions 338 to 659 of the family's 1533-position model. The record is from RNAcentral.
CCUACGGGGGGCAGCAGUGGGGGAUAUUGCACAAUGGGGGGAACCCUGAUGCAGCGACGCCGCGUGGGUGAAGGAGUGCUUCGGCAUGUAAAGCCCUAUCGGCAGGGAAGAAGCAAGACGGUACCUGACUAAGAAGCCCCGGCUAACUACGUGCCAGCAGCCGCGGUAAUACGUAGGGGGCGAGCGUUAUCCGGAUUCACUGGGUGUAAAGGGAGCGUAGACGGAAAGGCAAGUCAGAAGUGAAAACCCAAGGCUCAACCAUGGGACUGCUUUUGAAACUGUCAAACUAGAGUACGGGAGAGGGA